AGAGUUUGAUCCUGGCUCAGGACGAACGCUGGCGGCGUGCCUAAUACAUGCAAGUAGAACGCUGAAGACUUUAGAUUGCUAGAGUUGGAAGAGUUGCGAGCGGGUGAGUAACGCGUAGGUAACCUGCCUACUAGCGGGGGAUAACUAUUGGAAACGAUAGCUAAUACCGCAUAACAGUGUUUAACACAUGUUAGAUGCUUGAAAGAUGCAAUUGCAUCACUAGUAGAUGGACCUGCGUUGUAUUAGCUAGUUGGUGGGGUAACGGCCUACCAAGGCGACGAUACAUAGCCGACCUGAGAGGGUGAUCGGCCACACUGGGACUGAGACACGGCCCAGACUCUACGGGAGGCAGCAGUAGGGAAUCUUCGGCAAUGGGGGCAACCCUGACCGAGCAACGCCGCGUGAGUGAAGAAGGUUUUCGGAUCGUAAAGCUCUGUUGUAAGAGAAGAACGUGUGUGAGAGUGGAAAGUUCACACAGUGACGGUAAUUACCAGAAAGGGACGGCUAAUACGUGCCAGCAGCCGCGGUAAU
RNAcentral lists this ribosomal RNA (531 nucleotides) under Streptococcus sp. W36. RNAcentral describes it as "bacterial SSU rRNA". It matches the Rfam family "Bacterial small subunit ribosomal RNA", at positions 8 to 524 of the family's 1533-position model. Lineage: Bacteria; Bacillati; Bacillota; Bacilli; Lactobacillales; Streptococcaceae. The record is from RNAcentral.